GCAAUAGCUGAGUGGUUAAGCAUCUGCUUUGCAUGCAGAAUGUCCCAGAUUCAACCCCCAGUACA
This is a non-coding RNA of Podarcis lilfordi (Lilford's wall lizard), 65 nucleotides long. The record is from the annotation of a GenBank genome assembly. Lineage: Eukaryota; Metazoa; Chordata; Lepidosauria; Squamata; Lacertidae.